ACCUUGGUGGUGUAACGGUUAACACACUCGGCGCGUAUUCGAGAGGUCCAGGUUCGAGUCCCGGCGAGGGCA
RNAcentral lists this transfer RNA (72 nucleotides) under Stegodyphus mimosarum. It matches the Rfam family "tRNA". Rfam says of the family: Transfer RNA (tRNA) molecules are approximately 80 nucleotides in length. Lineage: Eukaryota; Metazoa; Arthropoda; Arachnida; Araneae; Eresidae. The record is from Rfam by way of RNAcentral.